This 368-nucleotide ribosomal RNA is filed under the name uncultured Clostridium sp. RNAcentral describes it as "bacterial SSU rRNA". It matches the Rfam family "Bacterial small subunit ribosomal RNA", at positions 491 to 858 of the family's 1533-position model. Lineage: Bacteria; Bacillati; Bacillota; Clostridia; Eubacteriales; Clostridiaceae. The record is from RNAcentral.
CCCCGGCUAAUUACGUGCCAGCAGCCGCGGUAAUACGUAGGGGGGCUAGCGUUAUCCCGGAUUUACUGGGCGUAAAGGGUGCGUAGGCGGUCUUUCAAGUCAGAAGUUAAAUUNUACGGCUCAACCGUAGCCAGCUUUUGAAACUGGAAGACUUGAGUGCAGGAGAGGAGAGUAGAAUUCCUAGUGUAGCGGUGAAAUGCGUAGAUAUUAGGAGGAAUACCAGUAGCGAAGGCGGCUCUCUGGACUGUAACUGACGCUGAGGCACGAAAGCGUGGGGAGCGAACAGGAUUAGAUACCCUGGUAGUCCACGCCGUAAACGAUGAGUACUAGGUGUCGGGGGUUACCCCCCUCGGUGCCGCAGCUAACGC